GGCGGGUCAACUUCACGCGUUAAGUUGGCCUGAGCCAUGAUCAAACUCAUGAAAGCAGGGGACCGCCAGGCCUUGCGCGAUUGGAGCGGCCGAUGUCGGAUUAGCUUGUUGGCGGGGUAAAAGCCCACCAAGGCGACGAUCCGUAGCUGGUUUGAGAGAACGACCAGCCACACUGGGACUGAGACACGGCCCAGACUCCUACGGGAGGCAGCAGUGGGGAAUUUUGGACAAUGGGGGCAACCCUGACCCAGCCAUGCCGCGUGUGUGAAGAAGGCCUUCGGGUUGUAAAGCACUUUCGGACGGAACGAAAUCGCGCGGGUGAAUAUCCCGCGUGGAUGACGGUACUGUAAGAAUAA
Molecule: ribosomal RNA, 356 nt
Filed under: uncultured bacterium
Lineage: Bacteria
Description: bacterial SSU rRNA
Rfam family: Bacterial small subunit ribosomal RNA
Source: RNAcentral